CGUAGGUGGCAAGCGUUGUCCGGAUUUAUUGGGUUUAAAGGGUGCGUAGGCGGUCUUCUAAGUCAGUUGUGAAAUACGGCAGCUUAACUGUCGAGGUGCAAUUGAUACUGGGAGACUUGAGUACUGAUGAGGUAGGCGGAAUGGACGGUGUAGCGGUGAAAUGCUUAGAUAUCGUCCAGAACACCGAUAGCGAAGGCAGCUUACUAAGGAGUAACUGACGCUGAGGCACGAAAGUGUGGGGAUCAAACAGGAUUAGAUACCCUGGUAGUCCACACUGUAAACGAUGAUUACUCGAUGUUGGCGAUACACAGCCAGCGUCUUAGCGAAAGCGAAUAAGUAAUCCACCUGGGGAUACGCCGGCAACGGUG
This 368-nucleotide ribosomal RNA is filed under the name uncultured organism. RNAcentral's name for it is "bacterial SSU rRNA". It matches the Rfam family "Bacterial small subunit ribosomal RNA", at positions 526 to 896 of the family's 1533-position model. The record is from RNAcentral.